GCAGUAUAAAUAUUGAAGUAAAUUAUAAUUUUUCGUAGUACAAUUCUUUGCAAGCUAAGGUUCAACAAGCUUACAGAUACACAAUAUCAAAAUGUUCGGCAAACUGGUUAUUUUGUUCGCCAUUCUGGCAUUCGCCUUCGCGAGACCUCAAGUAUACCCUGGCUAUAGCUACGGUACCUACUCCGGAGCCAGCUACCCCGGCUAUUAUGGAUAUUCCGGAUACUCCAACCCCUACUCGUACGGCAGUUACGGAUCGUACGCUGCUUCACCUUACAGCAGUCUCGGUUAUGGAUACUAUUAAAGUGGAUACACCAGUGGAUACAAA
Molecule: long non-coding RNA, 325 nt
Organism: Papilio xuthus (Asian swallowtail)
Lineage: Eukaryota; Metazoa; Arthropoda; Insecta; Lepidoptera; Papilionidae
Exons: 2
Source: RefSeq, a predicted model, not a curated record